RNAcentral lists this ribosomal RNA (460 nucleotides) under uncultured bacterium. RNAcentral describes it as "partial 16S ribosomal RNA". It matches the Rfam family "Bacterial small subunit ribosomal RNA", at positions 338 to 795 of the family's 1533-position model. The record is from RNAcentral.
CCUACGGGAGGCAGCAGUGAGGAAUAUUGGUCAAUGGGCGCGAGCCUGAACCAGCCAAGUCGCGUGAGGGAUGAAGGUUCUAUGGAUCGUAAACCUCUUUUAUACGGGAAUAAACUCUGGGACGUGUCUUAUUCUGUAUGUACCUUAUGAAUAAGGAUCGGCUAACUCCGUGCCAGCAGCCGCGGUAAUACGGAGGAUCCGAGCGUUAUCCGGAUUUAUUGGGUUUAAAGGGUGCGUAGACGGUCGUGUAAGUCAGCGGUGAAAGUCUGUGGCUCAACCAUGGAAUUGCCGUUGAUACUGGGGGGCUUGAGAAUAUUUGCGGCAGGCGGAAUGUGUGGGGUAGCGGUGAAAUGCUUAGAGAUCACGCAGAACCCCGAUUGCGAAGGCAGCCUGCCAAGCCAUGACUGACGCUGAGGCACGAAAGCGUGGGGAUCAAACAGGAUUAGAUACCCGGGUAGUC